RNAcentral lists this long non-coding RNA (492 nucleotides) under Medicago truncatula (barrel medic). RNAcentral describes it as "long non-coding RNA (MTRU_LNC007183)". The record is from RNAcentral. Lineage: Eukaryota; Viridiplantae; Streptophyta; Magnoliopsida; Fabales; Fabaceae.
AGCUGAUUAAGAGAGCAUAUAAUCAGUUUAUGAGAAUGCAAAUUGACAUAAUAUUUAGGAUGAAAACAAUUGGAACCAAUAAAGAAACCAAUGAUGUGUGAAUUUACAUAUUAUCCAAAAUUAUAAAAAAGAGUGUUGUUGUUAUAGAGUUACCAAAAAAGGAUUGAUACUCAUAUUUACAUCAAAUGAAAUCAAGCAAAGAAGUAGCAUCGGUGAGUGAAUAUAAUCUAGUCUAGGAUUAGAGUUAAGGUGAUCUGUUGAAAGUGCGGAUCAUGAACACCAAAUCUUUAUUUUGGAACGCUUUGAACGUGCAUAUUUUUAGGUGGCUUCUCUAGAUCAAAAAUUAACUUAUCAUCUACCUCUAACAUCUGUUCUCGGCAAAUUUGAACUAUUGGCCGCCUAAGUAUUUUUUAUAACUGGCUCUCUUUGCCGUUAUCAAGCGACACUUAUACCUUUUUUGAGCUUGUUUUUCGAUAAGUGUGAUUGUUUUCC